UUGAUGGGUUAUAAAAUGUAUCAGCCUUGCAAUUCAUUUGGUUACACAAUGCUUAUUAAUUCCUCCGAAGCAGAAGCAAGACUUCAACAGGCAUCACAUCAUAAAUAAAGCACCGGUGGUGGCACCAGAAACUAUGUGCAGGUCACUUAGUCAAUAUUGUUCACCAAGACCGAUCCACUCAUGGAAAACGAACUAGCCUGUUAACUGCCGAGUCCAAUGCAUCUACAUUUCUCCGGAUGAUUUUCCUUCAGAGAGUCAAGGAAUCACAAUGAACAAUUACAACGUGAUAUCUGGAUUGCUUCUAAACAGUUACCUAGGGAUUCUGGUUUAAAGCAAUAAACUAAUAACUAUUUGUUUGAAUGGGAAAAAAGGGGCAGCCUGAUAACACAAAGCUCCCAGUAUGCAGGGGUUCCGAAGAAGGACAAGACUACACUAGGUCUAUCGACGUAGCCUUACCUUGCAUUUCUUCAAGAGGUUGUUUCUACUAAAAUCUGUGAUCUCCUGGUUACAUGGUGGCAACUCUUAUCGUUG
Molecule: long non-coding RNA, 531 nt
Filed under: Nicotiana tabacum (common tobacco)
Lineage: Eukaryota; Viridiplantae; Streptophyta; Magnoliopsida; Solanales; Solanaceae
Description: long non-coding RNA (NTAB_LNC009005)
Source: RNAcentral